CAUCGUUCUAUCCUUGUGCAGUCUCACAUUCGUGUGCUGGAAAAUCCUGGAGAGAACAUAGCUGCUUUGCUCAUGGGUGUUGAAUAUCUUACCAAAAUUUCAUAUGUGGAUGACACAGAAGUUUUCAAGGUUUGCUUAGACUUUUGGAAUUCGUUUGUGUUGGAACUAUUUGAGGCACACCACAGUUUGGAUAAUCCUGCUAUAACGGCAAACAUGAUGGGGUUGCAGGUAUUGUGAAUAUGUUAACUUUAAGAUGAUAUUAUAUAGUUUUUGGUGUGAUUGUAAUAUGGUUGCACUUGCACAUAUCAUCUUUUUCCUCUUGCACUUUACUGUUUUACUUUUGUAUAUUGUUUACUUUCAGAUGAUAUUUUAUAGUUUUUGGUGUGAUUGUUUUAUUUUCAUAUGGUUGCACUUGCACAUAUCAUCUUUUUCCUCUUGCAGUUUACUGUUUACUUUUGUAUAUCGGAUACAAAAUUAGUUGAUUUGUUUCUUAUUUCUGUGUUUUCCAUGAUAUAUAUGUAAUUUUCAUUUCAAUUUGUGUUUUCCAUAAAUAUUGUCUUUUGAACCUUCAGAGCAGUUGGGUUUCUUUUCUUUUCCUUUUUGUAGUCUAAAUGGUUGGAGAUAGUAAUAUAUAAUUUCUUUAGUUUUGUGACAUCAAAUAUUUUGUGACCUGUAAUCUCUGUUCUUGAAUUAUGUCGAACCUUUUCUUAUUAAGGAAAUUGUCUUUCCAUCUCCUCUUUGUUUGCGUGAUUCUUUUUUAUUUAUAUGUUAUUUGUUUUUUCGAAAUUUGUAAUGGGACAGAUACUUAUUUUAGCCUGUGGUUUUAUACUGAAUAAGCAGAUGCCUUUGCUACCUGGUAUGGUUGAUGGCCUUGGAUCACAACUGAUGCAGCAGCGACAAUUAUAUGCUGAGCCAAUGUCAAAGUUAAGAAUGAUUAUGAUUUUUCGUAUGGCCAAGCCAGAAGAGGUUCUCAUAGUGGAAGAUGAAAAUGGCAAUAUUGUUCGUGAAACCAUGAAGGACAAUGAUGUUCUCGUGCAAUAUAAGAUCAUGAGGGAGACUUUGAUAUUUAGAGAGCUUCGGAUGGCAACAAACAACUUCAGCAGCAAGUACUUGGUUGGAUGAUGAAUUGAAGGAUGGAGCAAGUUUUAUGCAUGAUUUACUUUUGUGUAUCUUGUAAUGUUUCUGUUUUUCAUUUUAAAAUAAAAAAUGUUCAAGAUUAUAAAACUUUAUUAUGUUAUGCUUUCAAAUUUAAGUUAGAACUAAGA
Humulus lupulus (European hop) is the source of this 1265-nucleotide long non-coding RNA. RefSeq lists it as uncharacterized. The transcript has 3 exons. Lineage: Eukaryota; Viridiplantae; Streptophyta; Magnoliopsida; Rosales; Cannabaceae. The record is from RefSeq and is a predicted model, not a curated record.